Molecule: ribosomal RNA, 101 nt
Filed under: Erwinia amylovora
Lineage: Bacteria; Pseudomonadati; Pseudomonadota; Gammaproteobacteria; Enterobacterales; Erwiniaceae
Description: partial 16S ribosomal RNA
Source: RNAcentral
CGCUACCACAAAACCUUGCUCUUGGGUGACGAGUGGCGGACGGUUUAAAAUGUCUGGGAAACUGCCCGAUGGAGGGGGAUCACUACUGGAAACGGUAUCUA